Molecule: ribosomal RNA, 485 nt
Filed under: uncultured bacterium
Lineage: Bacteria
Description: partial 16S ribosomal RNA
Rfam family: Bacterial small subunit ribosomal RNA
Source: RNAcentral
AUUGAACGCUGGCGGCAGGCCUAACACAUGCAAGUCGAGCGGAUGAAGGGAGCUUGCUCCUGGAUUCAGCGGCGGACGGGUGAGUAAUGCCUAGGAAUCUGCCUGGUAGUGGGGGAUAACGUCCGGAAACGGGCGCUAAUACCGCAUACGUCCUGAGGGAGAAAGUGGGGGAUCUUCGGACCUCACGCUAUCAGAUGAGCCUAGGUCGGAUUAGCUAGUUGGUGGGGUAAAGGCCUACCAAGGCGACGAUCCGUAACUGGUCUGAGAGGAUGAUCAGUCACACUGGAACUGAGACACGGUCCAGACUCCUACGGGAGGCAGCAGUGGGGAAUAUUGGACGAUGGGCGAAAGCCUGAUCCAGCCAUGCCGCGUGUGUGAAGAAGGUCUUCGGAUUGUAAAGCACUUUAAGUUGGGAGGAAGGGCAGUAAGUUAAUACCUUGCUGUUUUGACGUUACCAACAGAAUAAGCACCGGCUAAAUUCGUGC